This is a long non-coding RNA of Brassica napus (rape), 3300 nucleotides long. RefSeq lists it as uncharacterized. Lineage: Eukaryota; Viridiplantae; Streptophyta; Magnoliopsida; Brassicales; Brassicaceae. The record is from RefSeq and is a predicted model, not a curated record. The transcript has 6 exons.
AUAUGUUUGUUUCACUCCUGUGCAUCCAGCCUGGAAAGUCGAGAACUGCUGUGCUGACACGUGUCCCGUUUGCUUAAACGCAGCGCUUCAUUUAACGUUUUGUUACGUGGACUGUGUUUUAUUUGGGCCUUUUGUUUGUUCAAUUUAACCAGUCCAGUAAUGAGUUCCUCUAAUUAUAAACGUAGCUUUUGAUGUCGUUUCCGUAUUAGGGCUUCUUUGUGCUUUGUCUCCGCCAUUCGUAAAUGAGACAGAACUAGAGUUUUGAGAGAGAUGUUUCAGCUUCUUACUAUCAAUCUCUACCAUUUACGAAUUCACCAUCUUAAAUUCCUUCUUAAAUCAUCAUCCACAAUUUACUUUGAAUGCGAGAUUCUUCAUACAAGGCGUUGGGAUUUCGAUUAUAAAAAAAAGACUUAUAUCCAGGAAAUGGCAAACGCAGCGAUCUCUCUUUCCGACCUGAAGACCGGACGAUGCUAUACCACCGUCCAAAUGUCGAAGGAAGACGAAGAGAUGUUGAGGACAGAUUUGCCAGCUUUCAGGGCUACAUAAGAGGAGAUCGAGAAGAAGAAGAUGGAGGUUUGGAAAAGGAUUUAAGCUCAACUUUGUUGCGUCAAAGAAGAGACCGAGAGAGUGGAACUUAAAGGCUUAGCUGACCCCAUGAGGAAAGAAGUUGAUUCUGUCAAUAAAUAAUUAAAGCCAUUGGCAACGUUGUUUGAAGCUUCUGCCUCCUGAAGAGCUUGAGCAUCUGCCUCCUGAAGAGCUUGAGCAUCUUAAUAUCUUAGAGCGUAAAGAUUCAAGCUCCCCUUUUAAGAAACUUGUGUACCUAUCCGGUGCAGAUUCAAGUUCUCCUGUUAGUGGGAACGGGAUUCAUUUUAAUUUGUUUACUGGAAACUAGAAUUUUGCUGAGAGAGAGAAUAGUUUUCAGGUGAGUGAGACAGUUUCGGUGCAUUGUGAAUUUUUCAACGAGAAUUUACGGUUUAGAAUUUUGGAUGAAUAUAAGAAGUAUGUGCGAGUUUUAAAAUUGUAGUCUCCGCGUGUACAUGCCUUUUGUGGGGGAGAUCACCUUUACCAACCUAUUGGAAUGUCUAAGGCAUCAACUCAAAAGGUUUGCUAUGUUGCAUUUGGGAUGAUGUUACACUCGCAACGCAGUAAGCAGAGGGUCAUAAGAUUAGCGAGAAUUCUCCUUUGAUAAAUUCCUAGAUAAUAUCAGAAGUUUUAUAAAAGUAAAAGCAACAAAUAUUUAUAAGCCAUAAUAGUAAAUGGUCAUCAAAAUCAGUAGAAGCAAUGAAAAUGUGACAUAAAUUAUUUUGGAAGGUGUCAUGCGAUAUGUAUAUGUAUUAUUCAUCUUUGUCAGCUAGAAAAUUACAUUGUAGUAAAAUUAAAAAACCUUCUUCGUUUGAUUUAUUAACUGAAGAACCUUAUUUGUUACACAUCACACCCUCUCUACAAUUUUUUUUGUUAAACACCCUUUCUACAUAAGUUUAAUAAAUUUACAUUACACAAAAAUCAAAAAGCAAAUUAGCAAACGAUAGUUUAUUACACUAACAACUUAAGCAUUUUAAGAAAACCUGAAAUAAAAAUUGAAUACUAAUUGAAUACAAAAAAAUAAAAAUAAUAAUAUGUUUAUAACAAACAAAAUCUUAUAAGCUCUUUUGAAAACCCAAUAUCUUAUAAGUUAAAUCACAACCGCUCAUAUACAAAGUAUAUAUAUAUAUAUUACAUUUAAUUUCCAGCAAAAAAUAUCACGAAGUCAAAAAGGACACAUGAAAAAUAACAGAAACAAAGAAAAGUUAUCAUAUCAGGAAACAUAUAACUACCCUUUUUGCCAAACGUAAAUCUAACUAAUAUAGCAACAAAAAAAUUAUAAUUAAUAAUUAAAACGACAAUCUAUUAUUAUAUAAAGGUUGUUACCCCCAAAUUAUAGUUAAUUAAAAAGUAAUUCUAUAUUUUCACAAUAAAAUCUACUCCCUCGGUGAAUGUACAUGUUUAACAAAAUUGUUUUGGUAUAGUUUCUAUAAAUCAUUUUUAGUUAAUAAUUAAAGAUAAUUAAACUAUAAAAAAUAAUUAAACUUAUCUAAAGUCGACACAUCAUAUCUGCAUUAAAACGCACAGUUUUGUUUAAACGAAAGGAAGAAUAAUUUUUAGGCUUCUGUUACUCAUAAAAAUUAAAAUCCACAGCCUCGGAGGCCCAUAGUCUUCAUCCCCUUCACGCUGUCAUCAGGAUUUCUGUUCUUCUUCCAAAUCUGAGACCGAUGUAAAUAAUUCUGCGUUUUCAUGCAACUUCAAUGGUUUUUUAAUUGUUAGGAUGACUGAGAUUGAGAUGAAGAAUCUCUUCGUUUGUCUCCACCCGCGUCGUUUAGCUUUCUCCUUUACUCAAACGAAACGGCCCAAUUACAGAUUCAGCGCCAUCAUCACCUUCUUAACUCCAUAGACGGACGUGUAGCACGAUCUUGACAUUAAUUGUGAGUUAUUCAAGGGUGGUUGUUGCAACCGGCUUUAAUCCAAAAUUCGUGGGAGGUAUUUAGUUAUCCGCUGUAAUUUGAUAUUCUAACUUCUAAUGUUUCCUAAUACCCUCACUAAUCUUCACUUUGCAGGCCGUAUGUUCCUCAAUGCCAUUUUAGGGACACAUCUAUUUUAAAUAAUUACAAAAUAGUUAAUCUUUUAACCAAAAUCAUUAUAAAUAAUAUCUUGAUAUAAUAUUUAAAUACCAACAACUAAUGACUAUGUCUUAAAUUGAGCGCCACAGAUAAGGUAAAUACAUGAACACUAAACCUCUUCUCUAAUUGUGUUCCAUUUGGUUUUCUUGAAGAAGAAGUUUUGAUUAGCUUCUGUUACCAGUGUCUCUGAUAUAAUUGUUAUAGCUUAUUACUUAAGCUCUGACAUCUCUGUAGAACUGCUAGAUUUUUUAAUUUCGAACCCAUAAGAACUAUAAGUACUACAUUCCGUUUAGCAUAAGAACUAAAAAUUGGUUUUCUAUUUUUAUACUUCCACACCAGAUGUUACAUUCUCAUUUCAAUGAAUAAAUUCUCCUCGCUCACGUGUGUUGUCCUUAUGCUUCAAAUUAAUAGUUAUAACUUUAUCUCCUUUAAAACAGCAAUGAACAAUCUUCUCAAAAACAAAAGACAUACCAAACCGUAAUGCACACUUUACUUGGAACCUAAAAUACUUCAAAUAAGUUUCCAACUGAUACUUUCACAUGCAAAUGGGGGUUGAGCUGAGUGACAGAAUAUACACGCCCACACACAUAAGAGUCCAAAUUAGAGAAACAUACAAUUAACCAACAAAUUAUGGACUACUAAUUAA